Molecule: non-coding RNA, 76 nt
Organism: Myotis brandtii (Brandt's bat)
Lineage: Eukaryota; Metazoa; Chordata; Mammalia; Chiroptera; Vespertilionidae
Source: Rfam
GGCUGGUUCUAGGGUGACGCACCCUGGAAUCGGGCUCCCUCUUCUCUGAUUCCGGGUGCAUCACCCGAGACCUUCA